UUAAUAAUACAAGUUAACAAAGCGUAGUAAUUACUCAAACACUAGCACUGUAAAUCUGAUUCCUGUACGAGACUCAAGUUCACCAUGACAGCAAAUAUUUGGGUUUCAUUCACCUUAAUAGAGAGCAGAGUGAGUAACACUGAGGGUGUGUGUGUGUGUGUGUGUGUGUGUGUUCGUGUUCACCUGUUCUGAGUGGGCGGGGUCUCUGGGCGGUUCAGGUGCGGGGCCAUUUUCUUCUCCUCAGUGUUUCUCUGAAUCAGUGACGGACUCGAGCUCACAGUCAGCUGCCGCUAAAACUGAAAUCAUGAAAUCACGCUGAUUUAAAUCCCCGCGGAUACAAUCACUCUCCUCACAAUCAUGAAGAAAGGAUCGCUCAAUUUCCUGGGUCGGAAGAAUCAGUCUCUAUUCGGCACCAAUGUGGAGUUCAAGGACAUGGAUCAAGUGGAGCUGGUGUUGGACUCAGCUGCCAUCCCCGAGUCUGGAACCGCUAAAGUGCGCUCACGUCCUACUGUCAAACACUUCACGUCGUCUGAGAGUGUGCAAGGCUUUGCAGUUCCAACACCCAAGGUACCAGUUCUUCCGCCAUUCAACGAGCCCAAGAUAAAUGGUACAGGAAGUACUACAAACCUCCCAAAUGGAAGGAUGCUUUCCGUCCCUGACCUCCUCCAGGGGGAAAUAUUUAUACCGCCUCCGCCUGGCUCCGCCCCUCCACCCCCUCCUUCUUUUUCAGCCCCGCCACCUCCAUCAUUCAUCCCUCCCUCACCACAGUUCUCUGGCAAAAUGGACCCUUCUUUAGACCGUGCAAGCCUGCAUCCCCCUCCAAUGGCACCCCCAAAACCGCCAUCAAUAACCAGUUCUGAUUACAGUGCAGAUUUAGACUUGGCCUCCCUCAAACCUCCUCCAAUGCCUCCUCCAAAACCUCCAUCGGAAACAACCAGCUUCAGAGGUUCUCUCUCUAGCCUUGAUGUUCAAGAUAUCCCAGAUUGCCCCAAGUUCACCCCACCUCCACCCCCGAUGAAAGCAUCACCUGUUCUUUCAAAAGCUCAGAAAACAGCACCUCCAAAACCCAUCCGAAUGUCCUCCAUACCAAAUCUGGACAUCGUGUCCCAAGCUCCUGUGCCAUCUGUUGCUUCAAACACAACACCAUCUAGCUUCAACCCCCAGAACACAGCCAAACUCUACAGCGUGCAGAAGAGCACACUACUUGGCGGGCAGACAGAAAGGGAAAAAAAGGCCCAGUCCAUCCUGCUGCUGGAAGAUUCUGCUGGAAACACGGUUGGUGUAGUCAAUGGGAAUAGUGGGAAAAAUCCUGGAUCUUUCCAAUCUGAGGUGCCACCAACCAAACCAGCCCGCAGGAACAGCUCUGCCUCUCAUCUACAGGAUGACCAGCCAGACAUGGCACAAGCACCAAGUGAACCAGCCAAGGUAGAGCCCAAAAUAAAUCCUGAGCCUGUACUGACACAGAACAUCCCCACUGAGGUACCAGCACCAAUCAAAGUCUCGCCCAAAAUAGAGAAAAGGAUACCUGAUGUUAGGCAGGUGGUGACCCCAGUUGCAUCCCCUGGCAGGCCUCGCAAGUACAGCCCUAUCUUGAACCACCGACAUCUCAACACACGGGGCGUAGAUGGCUCAGUAAAGAAAGAGACCUCAACUUCACCUUUGGCUUUGCUGAUGGCUGCAAAGGAAAGAGAUAAGCAGAGAACUGCUCUGUCCCAACAGAACAGUAACUCAACAGAGCCAGUCAGUUCUGUGAUCCAACCUAGUGAAGAAAAACCAAACUCCUUCACCGUCAUUCCUCGAAACUCAACACCAGAUAGUCCCAAUGCACAAUUAAAGUCCACCACAAACACGCAACCACUCACCUCGCUAUCAACCAAAGUCGACGUUCCAGAUAUAUCCCACUCAAAGCCAGAGCUAAGCUCAACCCCUCUACGAAGCCCAAUGAAUAGCUUGGUAAGUGGAAUGGGUGUUCCUGUUAGAGGUGUGGAAAUUGGAGAAGACUUGGUCUUCAUUCCACCGCCUCCUGAAUUUGCCAACUCGGACUCUGAGGAGGAACCUCCAGUUCCCCCACCAAGUCACCCCGCUCCUGCUCCGCCUGUGAAAAGUGCCCCUCCACCUGCUAAAACCUUCUUACCUUCUACACCUGCUACAUUCAUCAACUGCCCCCCUCCAAGUCACCCGGCUCCUGCUACCCCUGUAAAACCUGCCCCUAAACCUUCUAAACCCUUAUCUACUCCCAUCAUAAAUGGUCCCACGCCAAGCCAUACUUCUUUUGCUUUUCCACCUGCCAAACCCUCCCUACCUCCGACCCCACCUCCUGUCACCAAUGGGCCCCUCACUUCACCCAAGCCUAAACCACCCAGCUCUCCUCCCAAGGCCCCAGGACCUCCCCCAAAUAUCCAGCCCCAAUCCAAACCACCUUUUCAAAUGAAACCCACUCAACCCCCUGCACAAGUGCCUCCAUCUGUCUCCGCUAGCCAAGCGACACUUCUCAGUAUCCUGCAAAAGAAGAUGCUAGAGAUGGACCCCAAGUUCUCGGCUGUCAAAGAGGUGGAGAACUAUGGAGAUGACUGGAACUCUCCACUGUCUGAUGAUGAGGCCACGUCGCCCCCUGCCACAUACAAUCCUAUGACAAACCGCAGUGCCACCCUGCCGACGCAAACUCGUGGAGUGGACAUGAAGGAGCUGGAAAGCAAAGCAGCCAAAAAAGCUCAAAAUUUGGCCACUUCAGCUAAAUCCCAGAACAGUAACGGACAAUCAACCAAACAGCAGUUUGGAACAUCAUUCACUGUAAGACCAGGAACCAAACAACCAAUAACACCCGUUAUCAAAGACGGUUCGUCCUGAUUCAGAGAACAUUUCUGAAAGGAAUUAUUCCAGAGACGUGCCUUACCUGUACAUAUGCACCUACCUGACAGACAUUUAAUGUUUUGCACCCGGUCUGGAGCUUUAUUACUGCUGUUGCUGAAGUAUUACUCUAUUAACUUUCACCCUGGAUGUUUCUUCAGCUGUCAGUAUAUUCAGGUUUUGCCGAACUCAUGACCACAGCUUCAUCACGGACUUUCUAGAGCUGCUAAGAUUGAUCAAUGGAACAACUGUGCCUGUAUAUGUUUCAUAAUCUACACGGAAACUCAUUUUAAUGUCAAACCUUUUCAUUUAAUUCAGUUGUUUAAUCCAGUUUCUAAUCAGUUGUUUAAUCAGGUUAGAAAUGAAGAACACCAGUUCUUAAUUGUAACUUCUGCAUACUAUUUUUGAAUGUUUUUAAUCAUGAAUGUACAAUAUUAAUCUAUAGCUCUCGAUAUGAGGGCUUCUUUCAGUGGUGCUGGAUUUUUUCCAGGUCAAAACAUGAUGUAUUUUUAUGAACUUAUAAAAAGUAUACAAUAAGCCUUCAAAUUUGAUCAAAACGCUGUUAUAAAUGGUUGCAAAGCCUUGAACACAUUACUGGUGGUUCUUAUUAAGGAAGAAAAAUGCUUUUGCUGCUUUGCAUAGUUAUUAUUUUAAUCUUAAGCAAGAUUCAAAGAAGAAAUAAUGCAAACUUUGUUUUUGCAUGAAUGUACUGGUUAAAAGUGCCUCUGAAGAAAUAAGCUAGCAUCUGCUACAAACACGUUUUUAUGGAAAUCUCACACAUCUCCACAGGUUUAAUUGUGUGAUAUACGUCAGAGACAAAUGCAAUAGGUCAAUAAUUGUGCUUUAAUAAUCUGUAAAUGUAUUUGUAGGACAAUUGUUGUUUUGGAUAUUUAACCCUUUGUUACCCCUAAAGAAAGAAUAUAACCACAAUACAGUGUAAUAAAAAUAUGCGAGAGCAUAAAUAUACA
Molecule: long non-coding RNA, 3815 nt
Organism: Cyprinus carpio (common carp)
Lineage: Eukaryota; Metazoa; Chordata; Actinopteri; Cypriniformes; Cyprinidae
Source: Ensembl